UACGUAGGGGGCUAGCGUUGUCCGGAUUUAUUGGGCGUAAAGAGCGUGUAGGCGGCCAGGUAGGUCUGCUGUGAAAACUCGAGGCUUAACCUCGAGCUGUCGGCGGAAACCAUCUGGCUAGAGUCCGGAAGAGGAGAAUGGAAUUCCCGGUGUAGCGGUGAAAUGCGCAGAUAUCGGGAAGAACACCCGUGGCGAAGGCGGCCAGCUAGACCAGUUCUGACACUGAGGCGCGACAGCGUGGGGAGCAAACAGG
RNAcentral lists this ribosomal RNA (253 nucleotides) under uncultured bacterium. Its description in RNAcentral is "partial 16S ribosomal RNA". It matches the Rfam family "Bacterial small subunit ribosomal RNA", at positions 524 to 776 of the family's 1533-position model. The record is from RNAcentral.